GACGAACCGUGCGAACGUUGUUCGGAAUCACUGGGCUUAAAGGGCGCGUAGGCGGCUUGUCAAGUCAGGGGUGAAAUCCGGCAGCUUAACUGUCGAAGUGCCUUUGAUACUGACGAGCUCGAGGGAAGUAGGGGUCUGUGGAACUUCUGGUGGAGCGGUGAAAUGCGUUGAUAUCAGAAGGAACGCCGGUGGCGAAAGCGACAGACUGGACUUUUACUGACGCUGAGGCGCGAAAGCUAGGGGAGCAAACGGG
RNAcentral lists this ribosomal RNA (253 nucleotides) under uncultured bacterium. RNAcentral's name for it is "partial 16S ribosomal RNA". It matches the Rfam family "Bacterial small subunit ribosomal RNA", at positions 524 to 776 of the family's 1533-position model. The record is from RNAcentral.